UGAGAGGUUGAACGGCCACAUUGGGACUGAGACACGGCCCAGACUCCUACGGGAGGCAGCAGUGGGGAAUAUUGCACAAUGGGGGAAACCCUGAUGCAGCGACGCCGCGUGGAGGAAGAAGGUCUUCGGAUUGUAAACUCCUGUUGCUGAGGAAGAUAAUGACGGUACUCAACAAGGAAGUGACGGCUAACUACGUGCCAG
This 201-nucleotide ribosomal RNA is filed under the name uncultured Bacillota bacterium. RNAcentral's name for it is "uncultured Firmicutes bacterium partial 16S ribosomal RNA". It matches the Rfam family "Bacterial small subunit ribosomal RNA", at positions 293 to 511 of the family's 1533-position model. The record is from RNAcentral. Lineage: Bacteria; Bacillati; Bacillota.